Molecule: ribosomal RNA, 423 nt
Filed under: uncultured bacterium
Lineage: Bacteria
Description: bacterial SSU rRNA
Rfam family: Bacterial small subunit ribosomal RNA
Source: RNAcentral
GGAAUAUUGGACAAUGGGGGCAACCCUGAUCCAGCGAUGCCGCGUGAGUGAAGAAGGCCUUCGGGUCGUAAAGCUCUUUAGUCCGGGAAGAAGGUAUUGUGGUGCAUAGCCACGAUAUUUGACGGUACCGGAAGAAUAAGCACCGGCCAACCCUGUGCCAGCAGCCGCGGUAAUACAGGGGGUGCGAGCGUUAAUCGGAGUUACUGGGUGUAAAGGGCGCGUAGGCGGUAAGAUGUGUGUGAUGUGAAAGCCCCGGGCUUAACCUGGGAAGUGCAUUGCAAACUAUCUAACUAGAGUAUAUGAGAGGGUGGCGGAAUUUCCGGUGUAGCGGUGAAAUGCGUAGAGAUCGGAAGGAACGUCAAUGGCGAAGGCAGCCACCUGGCAUAAUACUGACGCUGAGGCGCGAAAGCGUGGGGAGCGAAC